UGCUGGGGUACACGAGUGGCGAACGGGUGAGUAACACGUGGGUGACCUGCCCUGCACUUCGGGAUAAGCCUGGGAAACUGGGUCUAAUACCGGAUAGGACCGCACNGUGAGGGUGUGGUGGAAAGUUUUUUCGGUGUGGGAUGGGCCCGCGGCCUAUCAGCUUGUUGGUGGGGUAAUGGCCUACCAAGGCGGCGACGGGUAGCCGGCCUGAGAGGGUGGACGGCCACAUUGGGACUGAGACACGGCCCAGACUCCUACGGGAGGCAGCAGUGGGGAAUAUUGCACAAUGGGCGGAAGCCUGAUGCAGCGACGCCGCGUGGGGGAUGACGGCCUUCGGGUUGUAAACUCCUUUCACCAUCGACGAAGGGUUUCUGACGGUAGAUGGAGAAGAAGCACCGGCUAACUACGUGCCAGCAGCCGCGGUAAUACGUAGGGUGCGAGCGUUGUCCGGAAUUACUGGGCGUAAAGAGCUCGUAGGUGGUUUGUCGCGUCGUCUGUGAAAUUCCGGGGCUUAACUCCGGGCGUGCAGGCGAUACGGGCAUAACUUGAGUACUGUAGGGGAGACUGGAAUUCCUGGUGUAGCGGUGAAAUGCGCAGAUAUCAGGAGGAACACCGGUGGCGAAGGCGGGUCUCUGGGCAGUAACUGACGCUGAGGAGCGAAAGCAUGGGGAGCGAACAGGAUUAGAUACCCUGGUAGUCCAUGCCGUAAACGGUGGGCGCUAGGUGUGGGUUUCCUUCCACGGGAUCCGUGCCGUAGCUAACGCAUUAAGCGCCCCGCCUGGGGAGUACGGCCGCAAGGCUAAAACUCAAAGGAAUUGACGGGGGCCCGCACAAGCGGCGGAGCAUGUGGAUUAAUUCGAUGCAACGCGAAGAACCUUACCUGGGCUUGACAUAUACAGGAUCGCGCCAGAGAUGGUGUUUCCCUUGUGGCUUGUAUACAGGUGGUGCAUGGUUGUCGUCAGCUCGUGUCGUGAGAUGUUGGGUUAAGUCCCGCAACGAGCGCAACCCUUGUCUUAUGUUGCCAGCACGUUGUGGUGGGGACUCGUAAGAAACUGCCGGGGUUAACUCGGAGGAAGGUGGGGAUGACGUCAAAUCAUCAUGCCCCUUAUGUCCAGGGCUUCACACAUGCUACAAUGGUCGGUACAGUGGGUUGCCAGUCCGUGAGGGCGAGCUAAUCCCGCAAAGCCGGUCUCAGUUCGGAUCGGGGUCUGCAACUCGACCCCGUGAAGUCNGAGUCGCUAGUAAUCGCAGAUCAGCAACGCUGCGGUGAAUACGUUCCCGGGCCUUGUACACACCGCCCGUCACGUCAUGAAAGUCGGUAACACCCGAAGCCAGUGGC
Molecule: ribosomal RNA, 1339 nt
Filed under: Corynebacterium amycolatum
Lineage: Bacteria; Bacillati; Actinomycetota; Actinomycetes; Mycobacteriales; Corynebacteriaceae
Description: bacterial SSU rRNA
Rfam family: Bacterial small subunit ribosomal RNA
Source: RNAcentral